AAACUUACCAGGUCAAGACAUGGGCGUGAUUGACAGGCUAAUGACUUUUCUCGAUUCCAUGGAUGGUGGUGCAUGGUCGCACUUAGUUGGUGCAGUGAUUUGUCAGGUUUAUUCCGGUAACGAACGAGACCUCGGCCUUGUAAAUAGCUAUGCUGCUUACAGGGACAUUGGCGGCUACGCCAAGGAAGCUCGAGGCAAUUGCAGAUCUGGAAUGCCCUUAGAUGUCCUGGGUCGCACGCGUGCUACAAUGACGCCACGAACGAGCUUGCGUGAUGAAAGUUACGCAUAAUCAGCAGUCGGCGUCUUAAGGGAUAGUCUCUUGUAACUGUGGGACUCCAACUAGGAAUGUCUCGUAAGCACAAGUCAACAUCUUGUGUUGAUUACGUCCCUGCUCUUUGUACACACCGCCCGUCGCUCCUACCGAUCGAGUGUUUAGGUGAAUUUGAUGGACGUAAGGAAGUCAAAUAAACCUGAGCACUAGAGAAGAGAAGUCGAGAUGC
Molecule: ribosomal RNA, 500 nt
Filed under: uncultured Myrionecta
Lineage: Eukaryota; Ciliophora; Litostomatea; Cyclotrichida; Mesodiniidae
Description: bacterial SSU rRNA
Rfam family: Eukaryotic small subunit ribosomal RNA
Source: RNAcentral